RNAcentral lists this long non-coding RNA (714 nucleotides) under Sus scrofa (pig). RNAcentral describes it as "lncRNA (ENSSSCG00060048585.1)". The record is from RNAcentral. Lineage: Eukaryota; Metazoa; Chordata; Mammalia; Artiodactyla; Suidae.
CGCCUGUAGGUGAGUCUCUGUGAACCAGUUACUUUCCACUCUGUGGGGCUUCCCACCUGGGAGGGAUGGGGUUGCUUAUAUCACGUAAUCGCCCCUCCUACCUCUUGAUGUGGCCUCCUCUUUGUCUUCUGGAGUAGGGUAUCUUUUUGAAGGUUUCCGGUCCAUUUGGGUGAAGAGUGCUCAGCCUUUAGUUGUGACUUUUGUUGUUUUUAGGAGAGAAGUUGAGCUCCAGUCCUCCUGUUCUGCCCUCUUAAUCCCAUCUCUCCUGUCAACUUUUUCUAAUCAUCUUCUAAUUACACCAGUGAUUCUCCACAGGGGCCCAUUGUGUCUCUCGGGGGAACUUGACACUGUCUGGAGACCACUUGGCUUGCUGCUGAGGUCUGAAGGAGCCCAAACAGACGGAGACAGUUGGCCGGACUGGCAAGGAGUGCUGCUGUGGGUGGCGCCCAGGGGUGUCGCUACAUCCUGCUGUGUCCAGGACAGCCCCACAACGAGGAAUUGUCAGCCCCAAAGGUCAGUCGUGCUGAGAUGGAGGAACCCCGCCCCAAAGGCUUACCCCCAUGGACAAGCAUCACAGCAAAUCUGGGAAGCUCCUUAGACAUGUAGACUCCUGGGCCCCACCCCAGACCAUGUACAUCAGACUCUGCGUUUGAGCAGCGCCCCCCAGAGGAGUUCUGUGUUCGUUUGAGACCCAGACUGCACAGUGAGGUAGCC